Small nuclear RNA from Onychomys torridus (southern grasshopper mouse), 104 nucleotides. Lineage: Eukaryota; Metazoa; Chordata; Mammalia; Rodentia; Cricetidae. The record is from RefSeq and is a predicted model, not a curated record.
GUGCUUACUUUGGCAGCACAUAUACUAGAAUUGGAAUGGUGCAGAGAUUAGCAUAGUACCUGCCCAAGGAUGACACACAAAUUUGUAACGCAUUCAAUAUAGUU